Molecule: ribosomal RNA, 557 nt
Filed under: Caulobacter sp. StTD694
Lineage: Bacteria; Pseudomonadati; Pseudomonadota; Alphaproteobacteria; Caulobacterales; Caulobacteraceae
Description: bacterial SSU rRNA
Rfam family: Bacterial small subunit ribosomal RNA
Source: RNAcentral
ACGGGUGAGUAACACGUGGGAACGUGCCCUUUGGUUCGGAACAACUCAGGGAAACUUGAGCUAAUACCGGAUAAGCCCUUCGGGGGAAAGAUUUAUCGCCAUUGGAGCGGCCCGCGUAGGAUUAGCUAGUUGGUGGGGUAAAGGCCCACCAAGGCUACGAUCCUUAGCUGGUCUGAGAGGAUGAUCAGCCACAUUGGGACUGAGACACGGCCCAAACUCCUACGGGAGGCAGCAGUGGGGAAUCUUGCGCAAUGGGCGAAAGCCUGACGCAGCCAUGCCGCGUGAAUGAUGAAGGUCUUAGGAUUGUAAAAUUCUUUCACCGGGGACGAUAAUGACGGUACCCGGAGAAGAAGCCCCGGCUAACUUCGUGCCAGCAGCCGCGGUAAUACAAAGGGGGCUAGCGUUGCUCGGAAUUACUGGGCGUAAAGGGAGCGUAGGCGGAUAGUUUAGUCAGAGGUGAAAGCCCAGGGCUCAACCUUGGAAUUGCCUUUGAUACUGGCUAUCUCGAGUACGGACGAGGUAUGUGGAACUCCCAGUGUAGAGGUGAAAUUCGUACA